This 496-nucleotide ribosomal RNA is filed under the name uncultured bacterium. RNAcentral's name for it is "partial 16S ribosomal RNA". It matches the Rfam family "Bacterial small subunit ribosomal RNA", at positions 28 to 506 of the family's 1533-position model. The record is from RNAcentral.
GAUGAACGCUGGCGGCGUGCCUAAUACAUGCAAGUCGAGCGAACAGACGAGGAGCUUGCUCCUCUGACGUUAGCGGCGGACGGGUGAGUAACACGUGGAUAACCUACCUAUAAGACUGGGAUAACUUCGGGAAACCGGAGCUAAUACCGGAUAAUAUAUUGAACCGCAUGGUUCAAUAGUGAAAGACGGUUUUGCUGUCACUUAUAGAUGGAUCCGCGCCGCAUUAGCUAGUUGGUAAGGUAACGGCUUACCAAGGCAACGAUGCGUAGCCGACCUGAGAGGGUGAUCGGCCACACUGGAACUGAGACACGGUCCAGACUCCUACGGGAGGCAGCAGUAGGGAAUCUUCCGCAACGGGCGAAAGCCUGACGGAGCAACGCCGCGUGAGUGAUGAAGGUCUUCGGAUCGUAAAACUCUGUUAUUAGGGAAGAACAAAUGUGUAAGUAACUAUGCACGUCUUGACGGUACCUAAUCAGAAAGCCACGGCUAACUACGU